CCAGCAGCCGCGGUAAUACGGAGGGGGUUAGCGUUGUUCGGAAUUACUGGGCGUAAAGCGCGCGUAGGCGGACUAGUCAGUCAGGGGUGAAAUCCCGGGGCUCAACCCCGGAACUGCCUUUGAUACUGCUAGUCUAGAGUUCGAGAGAGGUGAGUGGAAUUCCGAGUGUAGAGGUGAAAUUUGUAGAUAUUCGGAGGAACACCAGUGGCGAAGGCGGCUCACUGGCUCGAUACUGACGCUGAGGUGCGAAAGUGUGGGGAGCAAACAGGAUUAGAUACCCUGGUAGUCCACACCGUAAACGAUGAAUGCCAGUCGUCGGGUAGCAUGCUAUUCGGUGACACACCUAACGGAUUAAGCAUUCCGCCUGGGGAGUACGGUCGCAAGAUUAAAACUCAAAGGAAUUGACGGGGGCCCGCACAAGCGGUGGAGCAUGUGGUUUAAUUCGAAGCAACGCGCAGAAUCUUACCAACCCUUGACAUCCUCGGACAACUCCAGAGAUGAGCCUUCCUUCGGGACCGAGUGACAGGUGCUGCAUGCUGUCGUCAGCUCGUGUCGUGUUAAGUCCGGCAACGAGCGCAACCCACAUCUUUAGUUGCCAUCAGUUCGGCUGGGCACUCUAAAGAAACUGCCCGUGAUAAGCGGGAGGAAGGUGUGGAUGACGUCAAGUCCUCAUGGCCCUUACGGGUUGGGCUACACACGUGCUACAAUGGCUGUGACAAUGGGUUAAUCCCAAAAAGCAGUCUCAGUUCGGAUUGUCGUCUGCAACUCGACGGCAUGAAGUCGGAAUCGCUAGUAAUCGCGUAACAGCAUGACGCGGUGAAUACGUUCCCGGGCCUUGUACACACCGCCCGUCACACCAUGGGAGUUGGUUCUACCCGACGGCCGUGCGCUAACCUUUCGAGGAGGCAGCGGACUACGGUAGGAUCAGCGACUGGGGUGAAGUCGUAACAAGGUAGCCGAU
RNAcentral lists this ribosomal RNA (961 nucleotides) under uncultured Alphaproteobacteria bacterium. RNAcentral's name for it is "bacterial SSU rRNA". It matches the Rfam family "Bacterial small subunit ribosomal RNA", at positions 508 to 1504 of the family's 1533-position model. Lineage: Bacteria; Pseudomonadati; Pseudomonadota; Alphaproteobacteria. The record is from RNAcentral.